UGUUUUUUGUUUUUUUUUCCCCUUCAGUCACCUUCCAUGUCUAGCUGAAGAUCAACAAACGUCUCUAAAGGCCUGGUCAUCUUCCCCUUAGUCCAGGAAGCCAGACUGGUUCAGACAAAUUCCACUCCGUUUGCACGGAGUGUUGUGUGGCGCUGGAGGGCACGCGUGAAGGUCAGAGGACAACUUUUAGGAAUCAGUUCUCUCCCGCCACGGGUUCUGGGAAAUCAAAUUCACAGGCCCUCCCUCUACUUUCAGAAAAUUUCAGCUUGCACUCCUUGGCUUCCAAACCGUCCGAGGCUUCCUACUGCCAUGCUGUUCCUGCCGGAUUCCUGUUGCUGGGGCCCCAAGUCAACAGAGCCGGGAACCGAAGAUGGAAAUCACGAAUUAAAAGAAUUCCUCCCUUAAA
This 406-nucleotide long non-coding RNA is filed under the name Rattus norvegicus (Norway rat). RNAcentral's name for it is "long non-coding RNA NONRATT020870". Lineage: Eukaryota; Metazoa; Chordata; Mammalia; Rodentia; Muridae. The record is from RNAcentral.